Molecule: small nuclear RNA, 161 nt
Organism: Tripterygium wilfordii
Lineage: Eukaryota; Viridiplantae; Streptophyta; Magnoliopsida; Celastrales; Celastraceae
Product: U1 spliceosomal RNA
Exons: 1
Source: RefSeq, a predicted model, not a curated record
AUACUUACGGAUGGGGUCGAUGAGUGAUCAAGAAGACUCAUGGCCUAGGACAGUGACCUCCAUUGCGCAAUAGGAGGGGUGCUGCCCUAAGGUCUCCCUAAUUUGGGAGAGCCUACGUCGUAAUUUGUGGAAGCGGGGGCCUGCAUUCGCGCGGCCUCCUA